Molecule: non-coding RNA, 105 nt
Organism: Mycena leptocephala
Lineage: Eukaryota; Fungi; Basidiomycota; Agaricomycetes; Agaricales; Mycenaceae
Source: the annotation of a GenBank genome assembly
GGCUUGGUAGCGGAUGGUCUACAUCUGCUUUUCAUUCAAAAGAUGUAUACAUAUGUGUGAAAAUGGGUAAUGCAGACAAAGCCUGUUCGAACCAGGUCCGAGCCA